Long non-coding RNA from Gossypium arboreum, 1601 nucleotides. RefSeq lists it as uncharacterized. The record is from RefSeq and is a predicted model, not a curated record. The transcript has 6 exons. Lineage: Eukaryota; Viridiplantae; Streptophyta; Magnoliopsida; Malvales; Malvaceae.
UUGAAAAAAAAAAAUCCUGAGUUGAGUGACAAAGAUAUAAAAGUUUUGGGCUCUAAGUUAAUCUUUUACCAACACUUAUUCAGCUGGGCCUAGGUUUAGCUCCCUUGGGAGUUUACUGAUUCAUGUCUCUGCAAUUGCCUGAGAACAAUGAGAGGAUCCAUCCCAUCCUAGUAUCCAACCCCAAAACCCUUAAUUUGAACAUGUUUCGAUUCGACUUUCUGCUUCAGUUUCAUCAUUAGCUAAACUUUCAACAUCCAAAUCAAAUGAGAAACAUAAGGUUCUCUUAUCAUCCUCUACCUGGAAAAGAUUUAACCCUUUUGUUAUUUAGAACCAAUUCUUUUUACCUCCAAAAAGAAAACCCAAAGCUUCCUCUAUUGGUGCUGCUAAUUUUGAAGAGAGUGUGUUUUUGUCUUGAUUUUAUCGGUUAUGCAUAUACCUAGAUGGCGAAACGUGUUUCUUCUGAAGAGUUCAUUGGUUCCACCUUUCUUAUAUUCAAAAGCAACGGCUACUGUUGCAACAACCCACGUUGCUUCGUUUCAUUCUUCGCCUAUUACCUGUGAAAAAUGGAAGAGCAAAUGGGAUUUUGAGGAAAGACGAACACAACAACCAACUAAGAAUCACAUAAGGUAUACAGUACAUCAAAAGCGUGCUGCACAAAGAGUGCUCUAAAAAGCCUGCUCUAUAAUAGUGGUUGCUCAAAUGUUUCAUUCCAGGAUGAAGUUCAAACAUGGAAAUUUGAUGGGGCGGAAGGCUGGGAUUCAGAUGGUUCUGAUAAGAAGUGGUGGUCAAGGUAUUCUGGACGACAUGCUGGGAAAUCUAACUGCAAAAAAGUUAAACGAAAGUUUAAAAGAGAGAGUUUCUUUGACGACUUUGAUCAUCCUGAGAGAAUCUUUCAAGCUAAAUUUGGGAACAAAUGGUAUACUUGGUCUUCUGGUGGAGAUAAGUCUUUCAAGAAUCCAGAAUCUGGAUUUGAGUGGAGAGAAAAAUCAGGCUGGACAAAUCAAAGAACGAAGGAGUGAGAAAAUACUAGUGACUCUGAGUCUGAGUCUGAGGAGGAGAAGUCAUAUGAUGUAGGUUCAUGUUCUGAUAGAGAAAUCCUUGGUUUGCCUCGAGCAGGCCCCAUAAAGAUUGAAGAUGUUCAGAAUGCUAAGUACUCAACUUAAUAUUUGAGAGGCCUGUCAUCUUGAAGAUUGGACGUUACAUAUUUGAGUUUUCCCUUGCUCCAAUUCUUUUUUACGCAUGUAUUCUAAAGUUCAUUAAAAUUGCCAUUCAGCUUUUGUGUAUCAGCUAUGAAGUGGCAUCCUGAUAAGCAUCAAGGUCCUUCACAGGAGAUUGCUGAAGAGAAAUUUAAGAUGUGUGUAGAGGCGUACAAAUCAUUAUGCCAUGCUCUAUCCUAAGCCUUAGGAGGUUACAUAGCUCCAACCAAGUAAGUGGUCUCGGAGAAUAAUAGCUAAGAGGUAUAAUUGAAUCUGUUCUAUUUUAUUCUGAUAAUCAUAAUCAUAGUCAAAUUGUCAGAAAAUUUGUUUGGCCCUACAAUUGACAAUGGUCCAUUAUUUUGGGGCUAAAACUCCAAAAAAAGUAAUUACAUUCUGAUUUAGUAA